This 497-nucleotide ribosomal RNA is filed under the name uncultured bacterium. Its description in RNAcentral is "partial 16S ribosomal RNA". It matches the Rfam family "Bacterial small subunit ribosomal RNA", at positions 28 to 507 of the family's 1533-position model. The record is from RNAcentral.
GACGAACGCUGGCGGCGUGCCUAAUACAUGCAAGUAGAACGCUGAAGAGAGGAGCUUACUCUUCUUGGAUGAGUUGCGAACGGGUGAGUAACGCGUAGGUAACCUGCCUUGUAGCGGGGGAUAACUAUUGGAAACGAUAGCUAAUACCGCAUAACAAUGGAUGACACAUGUCAUUUAUUUGAAAGGGGCAAUUGCUCCACUACAAGAUGGACCUGCGUUGUAUUAGCUAGUAGGUGAGGUAAUGGCUCACCUAGGCGACGAUACAUAGCCGACCUGAGAGGGUGAUCGGCCACACUGGGACUGAGACACGGCCCAGACUCCUACGGGAGGCAGCAGUAGGGAAUCUUCGGCAAUGGGGGCAACCCUGACCGAGCAACGCCGCGUGAGUGAAGAAGGGUUUCGGAUCGGAAAGCUCUGUUGUAAGUCAAGAACGGGUGUGAGAGUGGAAAGUUCACACUGUGACGGUAGCUUACCAGAAAGGGACGGCUAACUACGUG